This 426-nucleotide ribosomal RNA is filed under the name Streptomyces anulatus. RNAcentral's name for it is "partial 23S ribosomal RNA". It matches the Rfam family "Bacterial large subunit ribosomal RNA", at positions 2506 to 2925 of the family's 2925-position model. The record is from RNAcentral. Lineage: Bacteria; Bacillati; Actinomycetota; Actinomycetes; Kitasatosporales; Streptomycetaceae.
CGACGGGAUGGUUUGGCACCUCGAUGUCGGCUCGUCGCAUCCUGGGGCUGGAGUCGGUCCCAAGGGUUGGGCUGUUCGCCCAUUAAAGCGGUACGCGAGCUGGGUUUAGAACGUCGUGAGACAGUUCGGUCCCUAUCCGCUGUGCGCGUAGGAAUAUUGAGAAGGGCUGUCCCUAGUACGAGAGGACCGGGACGGACGAACCUCUGGUGUGCCAGUUGUCCUGCCAAGGGCAUGGCUGGUUGGCUACGUUCGGAAAGGAUAACCGCUGAAAGCAUCUAAGCGGGAAGCCUGCUUCGAGAUGAGUAUUCCCACCCUCUUGAAGGGUUAAGGCUCCCAGUAGACGACUGGGUUGAUAGGCCAGAUGUGGAAGCCCUGUAAGGGGUGGAGCUGACUGGUACUAAUAGGCCGAGGGCUUGUCCUCAGUUG